UAGAUACCCCACUAUAAUGAGUCCAAUUUNCAUGUNGAAGCACUAAAGCCACCUUGACUAAAANUUAAAGAGCAUGGCGGCGGGCUGAAACUUCAGGGGAACUUACCCGGUAAUUGAUAACCCCCAAGAGGCGCUACGUGUUUUACUUGUUUGUAUACCGCCGUCUUCAGGUGUCGUCUAAGAUAGCACCAACUAUCUAAUUAGAAGAAAGACAGGCCAUCGUGCAGCUCAUAAUCACGGACUGGGCGAGUUACAGUUAGGCCUACUAUCAGAAGCCGAGGCUAACCACUCGGCUAAAGAUGGACUUGAAAGUAAUAGAUAAGAAAAUACUCCUUGAAUGUUGCUUUGGCCCGUGCACACNCCGCC
RNAcentral lists this ribosomal RNA (366 nucleotides) under Cylindrotis quadrasi. Its description in RNAcentral is "partial 12S ribosomal RNA". The record is from RNAcentral. Lineage: Eukaryota; Metazoa; Mollusca; Gastropoda; Ellobiida; Ellobiidae.